This is a long non-coding RNA of Oncorhynchus tshawytscha (Chinook salmon), 1567 nucleotides long. The record is from Ensembl. NCBI's taxonomy places the organism in Eukaryota, Metazoa, Chordata, Actinopteri, Salmoniformes, Salmonidae.
GCUGUCUCAUAAACACGGUUAUAUCAACGCUUUAUUGUGAUUGGUUAGGCUGUCUCAUAAACACGGUUAUAUCAACGCUUUAUUGUGAUUGGUUAGGCUGUCUCAAACACGGUUAUAUCAAUGCUUUAUUGUGAUUGGUUAGGCUGUCUCAUUGUUGCGAGAAUUAUGUUCUCAAUGUUCAUAAACCACUUCAAUUAAACUACUCAGCCUGCAACCCAGAAUGUGUAAGAUUCUGGUUAAAUGAAACAGACGGAGGCCCAGCUAUGAUAGUCAAAAUGUUUAUUCACGAGAGCGCUAGUCCGUUGCACAAAACCAUUCAUAUUAUACUGGCUCCUUACGCACUUACAUUCAAACACAAACAGUAGGUAUAAUACGCACAUACUGUAUCACCACCCAGCCGACAAAGAUUAGGGAGACCUUGGGAAGCACUCCCUGUCCUCCCUCAAGAUUAGGGAGACCGUAGGAAGCACUCCCUGUCCUCCCUCAAGAUUAGGGAGACCGUGGGAAGCACCCCGUGUCCUCCCUCAAGAUUAGGGAGACCGUGGGAAGCACUCCUUGUCUUCCCUCAAGAUUAGGGAGACCGUGGGAAGCACUCCUUGUCCUCCCUCAAGAUUAAGGAGACCGUGGGAAGCACUCCUUGUCCUCCCUCAAGAUUAGGAGGGACUUGAAGUACUCCCCGCCCUCUCCCAAAUCUCUCAUAGGCCCCUAGCAAGGUUAAUAAUGGUGAGAUGGAUGGUGGACAGGGUUAAUAAUGGUGAGUUGGAGGGUAGACAGGGUUAAUAAUGGUGAGUUGGAGGGUAGACAGGGUUAAUAAUGGUGAGUUGGAGGGUAGACAGGGUUAAUAAUGGUGAGUUGGAGGGUAGACAGUGUUAAUAAUGGUGAGUUGGAGGGUAGACAGGGUUAAUAAUGGUGAGUUGGAGGGUAGACAGGGUUAAUAAUGGUGAGUUGGAGGGUAGACAGGGUUAAUAAUGGUGAGUUGGAGGGUGGACAGGGUUAAUAAUGGUGAGUUGGAGGGUGGACAGGGUUAAUAAUGGUGAGUUGGAGGGUAGACAGGGUUAAUAAUGGUGAGUUGGAGGGUAGACAGGGUUAAUAAUGGUGAGUUGGAGGGUAGACAGGGUUAAUAAUGGUGAGUUGGAUGGUGGACAGGGUUAAUAAUGGUGAGUUGGAUGGUGGACAGGGUUAAUAAUGGUGAGUUGGAUGGUGGACAGGGUUAAUAAUGGUGAGUUGGAUGGUGGACAGGGUUAAUGGUGAGAUGGAUGGUGGACAGGGUUAAUAAUGGUGAGAUGGAGGGUGGACAGCGUUAAUAAUGGUGAGAUGGAUGGUGGACAGGGUUAAUAAUGGUGAGAUGGAUGGUGGACAGGGUUAAUAAUGGUGAGUUGGAGGGUGGACAGGGUUAAUAAUGGUGAGUUGGAGGGUGGACAGGGUUAAUAAUGGUGAGUUGGAGGGUGGACAGGGUUAAUAAUGGUGAGUUGGAGGGUAGACAGGGUUAAUAAUGGUGAGUUGGAGGGUAGACAGGGUUAAUAAUGGUGAGUUGGAGGGUAGACAGGGUUAAUAAUGGUGAGUUGGA